GGCAGAAUGGUGGAUUAAUGUUUGCAACCUAUUUAUAUAGAUAUGGUAACCGGCGGUUGAGUUAACCGGCGGUUCAGAUUGAACCGGCGGUUAAGUUAACCAGGGGUUCAGAUUUAACCGGCGGUUCAGAGUUAACCGGCCGAUCAAAGUUAUCCAGUGGAUAAAUAUGUAUCUGGUUGAUAUCUAAACAAGUUCAAUUAUCCUUUCAGUGAAAAAUCCCAGUGGGAUUUUCCAUGGUUACAAUUAUCUAUAUUUAGCUAAUGU
Molecule: long non-coding RNA, 264 nt
Filed under: Mytilus galloprovincialis (Mediterranean mussel)
Lineage: Eukaryota; Metazoa; Mollusca; Bivalvia; Mytilida; Mytilidae
Source: RNAcentral